AACGCACAUUGCGCUCUCUGGUAUUCCGGAGAGCAUGCUUGUUUGAGUAUCAGUAAACACCUCAAUUUCAUGAUUUUAUAUUUUGAAAUUGGACUUGAGCAUAUCCCAACGUGUAUUUAUUUAUAUGGAGGGUUGCUUCAAAUGCAGGUGCAGCCGAUCAUUCUUCUGGGCUAAAAGCAUUAUCUAGUUAGUCCCGUAAAACGGAUUAUUCAUUUUAUUGCUGCAGCUUACCUUAAAGGAAGACAUGGCCAUUGUGCUGACUGAUGCAGGAUUUCUCAGAGGGUCUGCAAAGACUUUUUGAAAACUCGAUCUCAAAUCAAGUAAGACUACCCGCUGAACUUAA
This 343-nucleotide unclassified non-coding RNA is filed under the name uncultured Mortierella. RNAcentral describes it as "sequence contains ITS2". The record is from RNAcentral. Lineage: Eukaryota; Fungi; Mortierellomycota; Mortierellomycetes; Mortierellales; Mortierellaceae.